Molecule: ribosomal RNA, 459 nt
Filed under: uncultured bacterium
Lineage: Bacteria
Description: partial 16S ribosomal RNA
Rfam family: Bacterial small subunit ribosomal RNA
Source: RNAcentral
CCUACGGGUGGCAGCAGUGAGGAAUAUUGGUCAAUGGGCGCGAGCCUGAACCAGCCAAGUCGCGUGAGGGAAGACGGUCCUAUGGAUUGUAAACCUCUUUUGUCGGGGAGCAAAAGACGCCACGCGUGGCGUUCCGAGAGUACCCGAAGAACAAGCAUCGGCUAACUCCGUGCCAGCAGCCGCGGUAAUACGGAGGAUGCGAGCGUUAUCCGGAUUUAUUGGGUUUAAAGGGUGCGCAGGCGGAAGAUCAAGUCAGCGGUAAAAUUGAGAGGCUCAACCUCUUCGAGCCGUUGAAACUGGUGUUCUUGAGUGAGUGAGAGGUAUGCGGAAUGCGUGGUGUAGCGGUGAAAUGCAUAGAUAUCACGCAGAACUCCGAUUGCGAAGGCAGCAUACCGGCGCGCAACUGACGCUCAUGCACGAAAGCGUGGGUAUCGAACAGGAUUAGAUACCCUGGUAGUC